UACGUAGGCAGCGAGCGUUGUUCGGAAUUACUGGGCGUAAAGAGUGUGUAGGCGGUGCUCUAAGUUCGGUGUGAAAUCUCCUGGCUCAACCCGGGAACUGCGUCCGAUACUGGAAGGCUUGAAUCCGGGAGAGGGAUGCGGAAUUCCAGGUGUAGCGGUGAAAUGCGUAGAUAUCUGGAGGAACACCGGUGGCGAAGGCGGCAUCCUGGACCGGUAUUGACGCUGAGGCGCGAAAGCCAGGGGAGCAAACGGG
This 253-nucleotide ribosomal RNA is filed under the name uncultured bacterium. RNAcentral describes it as "partial 16S ribosomal RNA". It matches the Rfam family "Bacterial small subunit ribosomal RNA", at positions 524 to 776 of the family's 1533-position model. The record is from RNAcentral.